GACGAACGCUGGCGGCGCGCUUAACACAUGCAAGUCGAACGGAAAGGCCUGCUUUCCCUUGUGGAUUGCGGGUACUCGAGUGGCGAACGGGUGAGUAACACGUGAGUGAUCUGCCCCCAACUUGGGUAUAAGCCUGGGAAACUGGGUCUAAUUCCCGAUAGGACUGCAGGGUGGUGCCUGUGGUGGAAAACGAUUUUCUAGUGGUUGGGGAUGAGCUCGCGGCCUAUCAGCUUGUUGGUGGGGGAAUGGCCUACCAAGGCGGCGACGGGUAGCCGGCCUGAGAGGGUGGACGGCCACAUUGGGACUGAGAUACGGCCCAGACUCCUACGGGAGGCAGCAGAGGGGAAUAUUGCACAAUGGGCGGAAGCCUGAUGCAGCGACGCCGCGUGGGGGAUGACGGCCUUCGGGUUGUAAACUCCUUUCGACCGCGAGGAAGCCACCUGGUUGGAAGGGUGGUGACGGUAGUGGUAGAAGAAGCACCGGCUAACUACGUG
RNAcentral lists this ribosomal RNA (494 nucleotides) under uncultured bacterium. Its description in RNAcentral is "partial 16S ribosomal RNA". It matches the Rfam family "Bacterial small subunit ribosomal RNA", at positions 28 to 507 of the family's 1533-position model. The record is from RNAcentral.